GACAGAGGGUGCAAACGUUGCUCGGAAUUACUGGGCGUAAAGCGCACGUAGGCGGCUUUGUAAGUUAGAGGUGAAAGCCCGGGGCUCAACCCCGGAAUUGCCUUUAAGACUGCAUCGCUUGAAUCCAGGAGAGGUGAGUGGAAUUCCGAGUGUAGAGGUGAAAUUCGUAGAUAUUCGGAAGAACACCAGUGGCGAAGGCGGCUCACUGGACUGGUAUUGACGCUGAGGUGCGAAAGCGUGGGGAGCAAACAGG
This 253-nucleotide ribosomal RNA is filed under the name uncultured bacterium. RNAcentral's name for it is "partial 16S ribosomal RNA". It matches the Rfam family "Bacterial small subunit ribosomal RNA", at positions 524 to 776 of the family's 1533-position model. The record is from RNAcentral.